AAAAAAGCUAAUUAAUUUAACCGUUCUGUAUAAUAUGGUAUCAUCCUGUAUUUAACGCUUUAAAGAAGCAUUAUGAGAGCUGUAUGGAACGCAGUUUGUCCCGUAUUUAAGGCAUAUGCCGUAUGACCACCUAGACCAUACGAAUACCAAACUCUAAGCUGAGCAUCUAUUUUUCUUUUUUGACCAGUGUUUGAUUUGUGAGCAUAGCUGUUCGGGGGAGGCUUUAAGACUAAGCGGAAUCCUCUGCCGGCUGCUCAAGCGAGCGCGUCUCGCGCUAACCGAGUUAGGUUUUAUUAACGUCCGCGUUUCGACUUCAGCUCACGUUAAUCAGUUUGGGAGAAUGCAAACAACGUGAUUCCAACAUCCAGCCAUGCAAGAAAACGUGCAUUUUACCUGAGGGAAGACAGAAUCAAUAAGGAAAGUCGUCUUUCUUUAAUGUAGCAGAGUUGGAGUGGACCUCUUGUUGAAGAACUUCUCCAGGCACUAUGAACCAUCUGACUAAUGCUGUCAUGAAAAGGCAACUGCUGGACACCUGGGACAGGCCAUCAAUUCCAAGUUGGCGGAACUGAGGUUUCAACUGAAGAAAAAGGAGACCUGUUAGAGUUUAGAGUUGUCUAAUAGAGAGGGUGAAGGAAGAACAUCCAAACCCUGCCCCUGCUUCCUUCAAGAUUUUUUAUGGAUUUAUAUAAUGGUGUUUUUUUGUAAAGAAAAGACAGUGGCAAAAUUAACAUGACACUACUUUGAUGUUUUGUUCUACAAAUUAAACCACACACACACUCCAAAAACACCAAUUUUGAUACAAUUUGCAUUUGCAAGAAAAAAAACAUCAAAGUAUUGUCAUGUUAAUUUAGCCACUGCCUUUACUUUACGAAAAAACAUCAUUUUAUAAAUCCAUAAAAAAUCUUGAAGAAAUCAGGGGCAGGGUUUGGAUGUUCUUCUUUCACCCUCUCUAUUAGACAACUCUAAAAUUGAUUUUUUUUUACACAGACUUUAAUUAAUAAAAAAAAAAAAAAACUUCUCUUCAAGAAUUACUUUUCAGGUUUUAGCAUCAUCCUUUAGUAUUCAUAAUAGCAAUUUCAGUAAAGUUGCUGGUUUGAUUUAUGUUUUAAUUGUGCAGUUUAUGUGCAUUCUGUUCA
Long non-coding RNA from Cyprinus carpio carpio, 1136 nucleotides. NCBI's taxonomy places the organism in Eukaryota, Metazoa, Chordata, Actinopteri, Cypriniformes, Cyprinidae. The record is from Ensembl.